GUCGAGCAUAAUCUCGGGAAACUGAGGCUAAUUCUCGAUAGAUCAAGAUUCCUGGAAUGGGUUUUGGUCGAAAUGGCGUAACAGCAUCUUGUUAUUUUCGCCCGAGGAUGGGACUGCGGCCGAUCAGGCUGUUGGUGGGGUAAAGGCCCACCAAACCAGUAACCGGUACGGGCUUUGAGAGAAGGAGCCCGGAGAUGGACACUGAGACAAGGGUCCAGGUCCUACGGGGCGCAGCAGGCGCGAAACCUUCGCAAUGCGCGCAAGCGCGACGAGGUUAUUCUGAGUGAUUUCCGCUGAGGAAAUCUUUUCUUAGAUCUAAAAAGUCUGGGGAAUAAGGGGAGGGCAAGUCUGGUGUCAGCCGCCGCGGUAAUACCAGCUCCUCGAGUGGUCAGGGCGUUUAUUGGGCCUAAAGCAUCCGUAGCCUGCUUAGUAGGUCUCCUGUUAAAUCCAACGGCUCAACCGUUGGUUUGCAGGAGAUACCGCUGGGCUAGGAGGCGGGAGAGGCGGACGGUACUCCGAGGGUAGGGGUAAAAUCCUUUGAUCCCCGGAAGA
This 552-nucleotide ribosomal RNA is filed under the name uncultured archaeon. Its description in RNAcentral is "bacterial SSU rRNA". It matches the Rfam family "Archaeal small subunit ribosomal RNA", at positions 119 to 656 of the family's 1478-position model. The record is from RNAcentral.